RNAcentral lists this ribosomal RNA (415 nucleotides) under Burkholderia vietnamiensis. RNAcentral's name for it is "bacterial SSU rRNA". It matches the Rfam family "Bacterial small subunit ribosomal RNA", at positions 94 to 505 of the family's 1533-position model. The record is from RNAcentral. Lineage: Bacteria; Pseudomonadati; Pseudomonadota; Betaproteobacteria; Burkholderiales; Burkholderiaceae.
AGUGGCGAACGGGUGAGUAAUACAUCGGAACAUGUCCUGUAGUGGGGGAUAGCCCGGCGAAAGCCGGAUUAAUACCGCAUACGAUCUAUGGAUGAAAGCGGGGGACCUUCGGGCCUCGCGCUAUAGGGUUGGCCGAUGGCUGAUUAGCUAGUUGGUGGGGUAAAGGCCUACCAAGGCGACGAUCAGUAGCUGGUCUGAGAGGACGACCAGCCACACUGGGACUGAGACACGGCCCAGACUCCUACGGGAGGCAGCAGUGGGGAAUUUUGGACAAUGGGCGAAAGCCUGAUCCAGCAAUGCCGCGUGUGUGAAGAAGGCCUUCGGGUUGUAAAGCACUUUUGUCCGGAAAGAAAUCCUUGGCUCUAAUACAGUCGGGGGAUGACGGUACCGGAAGAAUAAGCACCGGCUAACUACG